Molecule: small RNA, 232 nt
Filed under: Carlito syrichta (Philippine tarsier)
Lineage: Eukaryota; Metazoa; Chordata; Mammalia; Primates; Tarsiidae
Description: 7SK RNA (ENSTSYG00000024648.2)
Rfam family: 7SK RNA
About the family: 7SK was discovered as an abundant small nuclear RNA in the mid-70s but a possible function has only recently been suggested. Two independent studies have found that 7SK RNA binds the CDK9/cyclin T complex (known as elongation factor P-TEFb).
Source: Rfam by way of RNAcentral
GAAUGUGAGGACAUCUGUCACUCCAUUGAUUGCCAAGGUUGAUUCGGUUGAUCUGACUGGCUAAGUGGAUGACCACUUUGUCCCUCACCGCUCCAUGGGCAAUCCUUCCCAAGGCUGUGCACUCAGUUGAAGAGGAUGGCCAUCCCUGCUAGGAGAGGGUCUUUCUUAUUUCAACAGUCUACAAAUAGCUUAGCUCUCCUGCUAGGCUGCUAGAACCUCCAAACAAGCCUUU